UGGGGAAUUUUGCACAAUGGGCGCAAGCCUGAUGCAGCCAUGCCGCGUGUAUGAAGAAGGCCUUCGGGUUGUAAAGUACUUUCAGCGGGGAGGAAGGGAGUAAAGUUAAUACCUUUGCUCAUUGACGUUACCCGCAGAAGAAGCACCGGCUAACUCCGUGCCAGCAGCCGCGGUAAUACGGAGGGUGCAAGCGUUAAUCGGAAUUACUGGGCGUAAAGCGCACGCAGGCGGUUUGUUAAGUCAGAUGUGAAAUCCCCGGGCUCAACCUGGGAACUGCAUCUGAUACUGGCAAGCUUGAGUCUCGUAGAGGGGGGUAGAAUUCCAGGUGUAGCGGUGAAAUGCGUAGAGAUCUGGAGGAAUACCGGUGGCGAAGGCGGCCCCCUGGACGAAGACUGACGCUCAGGUGCGAAAGCGUGGGGAGCAAACA
RNAcentral lists this ribosomal RNA (427 nucleotides) under uncultured bacterium. Its description in RNAcentral is "partial 16S ribosomal RNA". It matches the Rfam family "Bacterial small subunit ribosomal RNA", at positions 355 to 774 of the family's 1533-position model. The record is from RNAcentral.